GCUACUUUACAAGGUACAUGUGUUGUCGAGCCCGGCGAAGGAAAUGCAGGCCACGUUGCAUUGGCAAAGAUAACGCAUUCUGACAGAAUGAACUGAAGCAUGGCUGCGGAGGUUAUUGGACAUCUCUGCCGCUCAGGAAACAACCGGCAUUCCCAGAAUCCUCACGAUGAUGACUGCUGCAGAAAGGAGAAACACCAAGAAGAUAUCCUGAAUGUUUAUGAUGAACAUGGAUUACGUUUCUUGGUAUGGGUAUAUGCCUUCAAGUUCCCUAUCAAUUAUGGAGACCUUGUGGAUUUCAGAUGAUUUUCUUAGGCAAGGAAUGUCCAGAUGUAGUUUUGCCAGUUCCUUCCUCAGAAAUAUAGGACUUUAUCACAUAAGCCUGUAAUUCCAUCACAAUCACAUUGUUUAAGCAAACAGAAGCAUACCAUUACUGGAACUACAUCUUUCACAACUUGGCACAAUUGCACAAUGCUGGCACUGUGUUGAUGCAAAAUCCUAUUAUCAGUUCAUACAGAUAGAUUAGAAGAGAAUUGUUGUCCAUACGGAUGGACUAGAAGACCACUGUUAUCCAUACAGAUGGACGAGAAGAUCAUUGUUAUCUGUACAUAUAGACUAGAAGACAAUUGUUGUCCAUACAGAUAGACUAGAAGACAAUUGUUUUCCAUACGGAUGAACUAGAAGACCAUUGUUAUGCAUACAGAUGGAUGAAAAGAUCAUUGUUAUCCAUAAGGAUAAACUAGAAGACAAUUGUUAUCCAUAUGGAUAAACUAGAAGACAAUUGUUGUUCAUAUGGAUGGACUAGAAGACCAUUGUUAUGCAUACAGAUGGAUGAGAAGAUCAUUGUUAUCCAUACAAAUAAACUAGAAGACAAUUGUUGUCUAUAUGAAUGGACUAGAAGACAGUUGUUAUGCAUACAUAUGGAUGAAAGAUCAUUGUUAUCUAUACAGAUAGAAUAGAAGACAAUUGUUGUCCAUGCGGAUGAACUAGAAGACCAUUGUUAUGCAUACAUAUGGAUGAGAAGAUCAUUGUUAUCUAUACAGAUAGACUAGAAGACAAUUGUUGUCCUUACGGAUGAACUAGAAGACCAUUGUUAUGCAUACAGAUGGAUGAGAAGAUCAUUGUUAUCCAUAAGGAUAAACUAGAAGACAAUUGUUAUCCAUACGGGUGAACUAGAAGAAAAUUGUUGUCUAUAUGGAUGGACUAGAAGACCAUUGUUAUGCAUACAGAUGGAUGAGAAGAUCAAUUCUAUCCAUACAGAUAAACUAGAAGACAAUUGUCUAUAUGGAUGGACUAGAAGACCAUUGUUAUGCAUACAUAUGGAUGAGAAGAUCAUUGUUAUCCAUAAGGAUAAACUAGAAGACAAAUGUUAUCCAUAUGGGUGAACUAGAAGACAAUUGUUGUCCAUACGGAUGAACUAGACCAUUGUUAUGCAUACAUAUGGAUGAGAAGAUCAUUGUUAUCCAUAAGGAUAAACUAGAAGACAAAUGUUAUCCAUAUGGGUGAACUAGAAGACAAUUGUUGUCCAUACGGAUGAACUAGACCAUUGUUCUGCAUACAUAUGGAUGAGAAGAUCAUGGUUAUCCAUAUGGAUAAACUAGAAGACAAUUGUUGUCUAUAUGGAUGUACUAGAAGACCAUUGUAAUGCCUACAUAUAGAUGAGAAGUUCAUUGUUAUCCCUACGGAUAAACUAGAAGACAAUUGUUGUCUAUAUGGAUGGACUAGAAGAGCAUCGUUAUGCAUACAUAUGGAUGAGAAGAUUGUUGUUAUCCAUAAGGAUAAACUAGAAGACAAUUGUUGUCCAUAUGGAUGUACUAGAAAAUCAUUGUUAUCCAUAUGGAUGGACUAGAAGACAAUUGUUGUCCAUACAAUUGACUAGAAAACCAUUGUCAUCCAUACAGAUGGAUUAGAAGAUCACUGUUGUCCAAAUUCCAUUACACUAACUUGAUUCUAAAAGAAGUAGAAAGAAGGAACCUGCUUUAGCAAGUCUGUUUGCUUUCCUCCAUGUGUUGAGAUAUGAGAAACCAUUCAGAACAAUCUGGAUCCACCCAUUUCAUUUUCUAAUAGUUUUCCCAAUUGUGGGCAUGCCAGGGGAAAAUAGCACCCACUCACUGCCGUUUAUAGCCAGACUUUCUCAACUUUGCUUUCACUUGCCUGAAUGUAUGACUCUAGUAAUUGUUCCGGACCUGUGCCUGGAGCAUUGCCCUUCAGUACGUAACACAUUAUAUAUCUCCUAGACUUAUUACUGUUCUCUGUAAUUUGUUUCUCUGCUGCCAUCACAAGAAGAGCCCACGGGGACAAGGACUCAAGGGCGUGAACAACUGCUCCUGGCUUCUUGGUGGCAGUCUCAUAACUUGCCGUUUUGCUCUGAUUUCUUCCUAACUGUGACUAUCCUCAUUCCUGUUACUAUGACACACACAUAUCUCUCUCCCUUCUUGCAAACUGCAUCAGAAAAGUAAAAAGACAAGUGAUGAGG
Molecule: long non-coding RNA, 2473 nt
Organism: Anolis carolinensis (green anole)
Lineage: Eukaryota; Metazoa; Chordata; Lepidosauria; Squamata; Anolidae
Exons: 2
Source: RefSeq, a predicted model, not a curated record